GAUGAACGCUAGCGGCAGGCUUAAUACAUGCAAGUCAAGGGGGUAGCAAUACAACCGGCGCACGGGUGAGUAACGCGUACACAACAUACCAUAUACUGGAGUAUAGCUUUGGGAAACUGAAGGUAAUCCUCCAUAACAUUGCGAGAGGGCAUCUGAUUGCAAUUAAAGUUUCGACGGUAUAUGAUUGGUGUGCGUUUGAUUAGCUAGUUGGUAGGGUAACGGCCUACCAAGGCGACGAUCAAUAGCUGGCGUGAGAGCGCGACCAGCCACACUGGAACUGAGACACGGUCCAGACUCCUACGGGAGGCAGCAGUAGGGAAUAUUGGACAAUGGAGGAAACUCUGAUCCAGCCAUGCCGCGUGAUAGAUGAAGGCCCUCUGGGUUGUAAAUAUCUUUUAUCUGGGAAGAAACACUCCUAUUCUUAGGAACUUGACGGUACCAGAGGAAUAAGCACCGGCUAACUCCGUGCCAGCAGCCGCGGU
RNAcentral lists this ribosomal RNA (482 nucleotides) under uncultured bacterium. Its description in RNAcentral is "bacterial SSU rRNA". It matches the Rfam family "Bacterial small subunit ribosomal RNA", at positions 28 to 521 of the family's 1533-position model. The record is from RNAcentral.